AUUGAACGCUGGCGGCAUGCCUUACACAUGCAAGUCGAACGGCAGCACGGGAACAAUCCUGGUGGCGAGUGGCGAACGGGUGAGUAAAGUAUCGGAACGUGCCCAGUCGUGGGGGAUAACGUAGCGAAAGGUACGCUAAUACCGCAUACGAUCUAUGGAUGAAAGCGGGGGAUCGCAAGACCUCGCGCGCUUGGAGCGGCCGAUAUCAGAUUAGGUAGGUGGUGGGGUAAAGGCUCACCAAGCCGACGAUCUGUAGCUGGUCUGAGAGGACGACCAGCCACACUGGGACUGAGACACGGCCCAGACUCCUACGGGAGGCAGCAGUGGGGAAUUUUGGACAAUGGGCGAAAGCCUGAUCCAGCCAUGCCGCGUGCAGGAUGAAGGCCUUCGUGUUGUAAACUGCUUUUGUACGGAACGAAAAGGUUUGGCCUAAUAAGCUGAGCUCAUGACGGUACCGUAAGAAUAAGCACCGGCUAACUACGUGCCAGCCGCCGCCGUAA
RNAcentral lists this ribosomal RNA (500 nucleotides) under uncultured bacterium. RNAcentral describes it as "partial 16S ribosomal RNA". It matches the Rfam family "Bacterial small subunit ribosomal RNA", at positions 30 to 523 of the family's 1533-position model. The record is from RNAcentral.